UACGUAGGGGGCUAGCGUUGUCCGGAAUCAUUGGGCGUAAGCGCGUGUAGGCGGUCCGGUAAGUCCGCUGUGAAAGUCGGGGGCUCAACCUCGGAUGCCGGUGGAUACUGUCGGGCUUGCAUUCGAUACGGGCAGGCUAGAGUUCGGGUAGGGGAGACUGGAAUUCCUGGUGGUAGCGGUGAAAUGCGCAGAGUAUCAGGAGGAACAUCCGUGGCGAAGGCGGGUCUCUGGGC
RNAcentral lists this ribosomal RNA (233 nucleotides) under uncultured bacterium. RNAcentral's name for it is "partial 16S ribosomal RNA". It matches the Rfam family "Bacterial small subunit ribosomal RNA", at positions 524 to 734 of the family's 1533-position model. The record is from RNAcentral.